GAUGAACGCUGGCGGCGUGCCUAAUACAUGCAAGUUGAGCGAUCGGACGAGAAGCUUGCUUCUCUUUUGUUAGCGGCGGACGGGUGAGUAACACGUGGAUAAUCUACCUUUAAGACUGGGAUAACAUCGGGAAACCGGAGCUAAUACCGGAUAAUAUCUUUAACCGCAUGGUUCAAGUGUGAAAGACGGUCUUGCUGUCACUUAUAGAUGGAUCCGCGCUGCAUUACCAAGUUGGUAAGGUAACGCCCAACCACGGCAACGUACAAUGGCGAACCUGAGGGGUUGAUCGACCACACUGGAACUAGAAACCGGUCAAACCUCCAACGGGAGGAAGAAGUGGGAAAUCUUCGGCAAGGAGCGAAAGCCUGACGGGACAAGGCCGCGUGAGUAAUGAAGGUCUCCGGAUCGUAAAACUCUUUUGUAAAGAAGGAACAUAGGUAUAGGUGACAGUGCACAACUUGACGGUACCUAAUCAGAAAGCCACGGCUAACUACGUG
This 497-nucleotide ribosomal RNA is filed under the name uncultured bacterium. RNAcentral's name for it is "partial 16S ribosomal RNA". It matches the Rfam family "Bacterial small subunit ribosomal RNA", at positions 28 to 507 of the family's 1533-position model. The record is from RNAcentral.